RNAcentral lists this ribosomal RNA (360 nucleotides) under uncultured bacterium. Its description in RNAcentral is "partial 16S ribosomal RNA". It matches the Rfam family "Bacterial small subunit ribosomal RNA", at positions 338 to 695 of the family's 1533-position model. The record is from RNAcentral.
CCUACGGGUGGCAGCAGUGAGGAAUAUUGGUCAAUGGCCGGAAGGCUGGACCAGCCAUGCCGCGUGAAGGUCAGUGCCCUAUGGGCGUUAAACUUCUUUUGUGCGGGAGCAAUAAUGGUCACGUGUGGCCAGACGAGAGUACCGUACGAAUAAGCAUCGGCUAACUCCGUGCCAGCAGCAGCGGUAAUACGGGGGAUGCAAGCGUUAUCCGGAUUUAUUGGGUUUAAAGUGUGCGUAGGCUGUUAUGUAAGUCAGCGGUGAAAUGCCCCCGCUCAACGGGGUGAAGUGCCAUUGAUACUGCCUUGCGUGAAGGCGAAUGCCGAGGGAGGAAGGUGUGGUGUAGCGGGGAAAUGCAUGGAU